RNAcentral lists this ribosomal RNA (425 nucleotides) under uncultured bacterium. RNAcentral's name for it is "bacterial SSU rRNA". It matches the Rfam family "Bacterial small subunit ribosomal RNA", at positions 354 to 796 of the family's 1533-position model. The record is from RNAcentral.
GUGGGGAAUAUUGCACAAUGGGGGAAACCCUGAUGCAGCAACGCCGCGUGAACGAAGAAGGCCUUCGGGUCGUAAAGUUCUUUGAUUGGGGACGAUAAUGACGGUACCCAAAAAACAAGCCACGGCUAACUACGUGCCAGCAGCCGCGGUAAUACGUAGGUGGCGAGCGUUGUCCGGAUUUACUGGGCGUAAAGGAUGCGUAGGUGGAAAUUUAAGUGGGAUGUGAAAUCCCCGGGCUCAACCCGGGAACUGCAUUCCAAACUGGAUUUCUAGAGUGCAGGAGAGGAAAGCGGAAUUCCUAGUGUAGCGGUGAAAUGCGUAGAUAUUAGGAAGAACACCAGUGGCGAAGGCGGCUUUCUGGACUGUAACUGACACUGAGGCAUGAAAGCGUGGGGAGCAAACAGGAUUAGAAACCCUAGUAGUCC